RNAcentral lists this ribosomal RNA (452 nucleotides) under uncultured bacterium. RNAcentral describes it as "bacterial SSU rRNA". It matches the Rfam family "Bacterial small subunit ribosomal RNA", at positions 38 to 468 of the family's 1533-position model. The record is from RNAcentral.
GGCGGCGCGCCUAAUACAUGCAAGUCGAGCGGACCGGAUUGGGGCUUGCCUUGAUUCGGUCAGCGGCGGACGGGUGAGUAACACGUGGGCAACCUGCCCGCAAGACCGGGAUAACUCCGGGAAACCGGAGCUAAUACCGGAUAACACCGAAGACCGCAUGGUCUUCGGUUGAAAGGCGGCCUUUGGGCUGUCACUUGCGGAUGGGCCCGCGGCGCAUUAGCUAGUUGGUGAGGUAACGGCUCACCAAGGCGACGAUGCGUAGCCGGCCUGAGAGGGUGACCGGCCACACUGGGACUGAGACACGGCCCAGACUCCUACGGGAGGCAGCAGUAGGGAAUCUUCCGCAAUGGGCGAAAGCCUGACGGAGCGACGCCGCGUGAGCGAAGAAGGCCUUCGGGUCGUAAAGCUCUGUUGUGAGGGACGAAGGAGCGCCGUUCGAAGAGGGCGGCGCG